This 104-nucleotide transfer RNA is filed under the name Thermofilum sp. Its description in RNAcentral is "tRNA-OTHER". It matches the Rfam family "tRNA". Rfam says of the family: Transfer RNA (tRNA) molecules are approximately 80 nucleotides in length. Their secondary structure includes four short double-helical elements and three loops (D, anti-codon, and T loops). Further hydrogen bonds mediate the characteristic L-shaped molecular structure. tRNAs have two regions of fundamental functional importance: the anti-codon, which is responsible for specific mRNA codon recognition, and the 3' end, to which the tRNAs corresponding amino acid is attached (by aminoacyl-tRNA synthetases). tRNAs cope with the degeneracy of the genetic code in two manners: having more than one tRNA (with a specific anti-codon) for a particular amino acid; and 'wobble' base-pairing, i.e. permitting non-standard base-pairing at the 3rd anti-codon position. The record is from RNAcentral. Lineage: Archaea; Thermoproteati; Thermoproteota; Thermoprotei; Thermofilales; Thermofilaceae.
GGGCCCGUGGCCUAGCUCGGAUAGGGCGGCGACAAAAAGCCGUAAGCCUUCUAACCCGCGGAGAAAGCCGCAGGUCCCGGGUUCGAAUCCCGGCGGGCCCGCCA